Molecule: ribosomal RNA, 484 nt
Filed under: uncultured bacterium
Lineage: Bacteria
Description: partial 16S ribosomal RNA
Rfam family: Bacterial small subunit ribosomal RNA
Source: RNAcentral
AUUGAACGCUGGCGGCAGGCCUAACACAUGCAAGUCGAGCGGAUGAAGGGAGCUUGCUCCUGUAUUCAGCGGCGGACGGGUGAGUAAUGCCUAGGAAUCUGCCUGGUAGUGGGGGAUAACGUCCGGAAACGGGCGCUAAUACCGCAUACGUCCUGAGGGAGAAAGUGGUGGAUCUUCGGACCUCACGCUAUCAGAUGAGCCUAGGUCGGAUUAGCUAGUUGGUGGGGUAAAGGCCUACCAAGGCGACGAUCCGUAACUGGUCUGAGAGGAUGAUCAGGCACACUGGAACUGAGACACGGUCCAGACUCCUAAGGGAGGCAGCAGUAGGGAAAAUUUGGCAAUGGGCGAAAGCCUGAAGCAGCCAAGCCGCGUGAGUGAAGAAGGUCUUCGGAUUGUAAAGCACUUUAAGUUGGGAGGAAGGGCAGUAAGUUAAUACCUUGCUGUUUUGACGUUACCAACAGAAUAAGCACCGGCUAACUUCGUG